RNAcentral lists this ribosomal RNA (379 nucleotides) under Calyptommatus nicterus. Its description in RNAcentral is "partial 16S ribosomal RNA". It matches the Rfam family "Bacterial large subunit ribosomal RNA", at positions 1927 to 2526 of the family's 2925-position model. Lineage: Eukaryota; Metazoa; Chordata; Lepidosauria; Squamata; Gymnophthalmidae. The record is from RNAcentral.
ACGGCCGCGGGAUUCUCCACCGUGCAAAGGUAGCAUAAUCACUUGUCUCCUAAAUAGAGACUAGUAUGAAUGGCCAAAUGAAGAUUUACCUGUCUCUUGAAGCCCAUCUAUGAAACUGAUCUUUCAGUACAAAAGCUGAAAUUUAAACACAAGACGAAAAGACCCUGUGGAACUUAAAGCCACAACCAACAAAAUGGACCUAUUGCUUUUAGUUGGGGCAACUUUGGAAAAAAACAAAACUUCCAAUUAACUAUCUAGGCAGACAUGCCAAUAUAUAAUAAACUAGAUCCAGUACUACUGAUUAAAGAAAAAAGCUACCCCAGGGAUAACAGCGCCAUCCCCUCUUAGAGCCCCCAUCGACGAGCGGGGUUUACGACCU